CAAAAACAAAAGAAAACAAAGCUCCACAAAAUACAAGCAUCUGACUCCAGAGUUAUACUUUCACCUUAGGCCACAAAUUUGACAAUUUCAUUUAAGGAAUGUUUAUUUCUGGAAAAUAUAAUUUAUCAAAAUGCUUCCCCUAACAAAUCUAAGGAUGACUUAAUGUAAAGAAAUCUCUCAGUGUGUCAUGUUAGUAGGUCAAAUUUGGUAUGGUAGUAUUAGAGACAAUUAACAAGUAGUUGAUAAAUUCCAUUCCAUAUCCAAUACUGAAGAAAGAAUACUUAUAAUAUUCUAUAACAGGUAAUAGCUCUUAAGUCAAUGGACAGCACCACACUUUCUAUGAAACAAUAAAGAUAAUUGUAUUACAUUAGGAACAAGAAAAGUUAGUUAAUAUUGGCUAGGAAAUUCUGUCCAAUAUGAUAAGAUGCAAACUAAAUAAAUAAAAGGUAGAACUACUGGAAAGAUAAAGUUAAAAUACUUACAGGUAGAUUAUGUACAUAGAAACUCUCUGAGAAUAGAAGUAACAAUCACUAAAGCGUGCAAGACAUUCUAAAAACUUUACAUAAAUUAUUUAACCUCAUAAUAAAACUAUGAAAUAGAUACUAUUAUUAUCAUUCCCAUUUUACAAAUAAGGAAACUGGGGCACCACAAAGUUAGGUGACUCUCUUAGUGUCACACUAAAGUGGGGUUCUAGAAUCUGUAUUGUAAGCCCCUACACUGUACAACCUCUAUUAACAUAAUGAAAGAGUUCAGUAAUGGAGCAAUAGUUUCUUGAUAUUGUAGCAAAUACCAAUUAGAAGAUGGACUGGAAAACGAUAUUCUACAUUAGAAGAAAAAUUACAAAAUAUCAAGGAAUGUAAGUUUAACAAGAAAUGAAGAGGACCUAUGUGAAGACAAAUGUAAAUAAACACAUCUACCAAGUUUUAUAUGGGAAAACCCAUACAUACAUGUGCAAAAAUGACUAUUUUUCCACAAUUAAAGUUUAAUUAAAUUCUAAUCAGAGGGCUUCCCUGGUGGCGCAGCGGUUGAGAGUCCGCCUGCCGAUGCAGGGGACACGGGUUUGUGCCCUGGUACGGGAAGAUCCCACAUGCCGCGGAGCAGCUGGGCCCGUGAGCCAUGGUCGCUGAGCCUGCGCGUCUGGAGUCUGUGCUCCGCAGCGGGAGAGGCCACAACAGUGAGAGGCCCGCGUACCGCAAAAAAAAAAAAAAAAAAAGUGUCUCAAAUGUAUUAAAGAUAUAAAUGAAAAUAAGAAAAUAAAAAUUGCCAUAAAUUCUAGAAGAAAAUACAAGUGAAAUAAA
Long non-coding RNA from Orcinus orca (killer whale), 1298 nucleotides. RefSeq lists it as uncharacterized. The transcript has 2 exons. NCBI's taxonomy places the organism in Eukaryota, Metazoa, Chordata, Mammalia, Artiodactyla, Delphinidae. The record is from RefSeq and is a predicted model, not a curated record.